CCUACGGGGGGCAGCAGUGGGGAAUAUUGGACAAUGGGCGAAAGCCUGAUCCAGCCAUGCCGCGUGUGUGAAGAAGGCCUUCGGGUUGUAAAGCACUUUCAGUGGGGAAGAAAGCCUUGGGGCUAAUACCCUCGAGGAAGGACAUCACCCACAGAAGAAGCACCGGCUAACUCCGUGCCAGCAGCCGCGGUAAUACGGAGGGUGCGAGCGUUAAUCGGAAUUACUGGGCGUAAAGCGCGCGUAGGCGGUCUGAUAAGCCGGUUGUGAAAGCCCCGGGCUCAACCUGGGAACGGCAUCCGGAACUGUCAGGCUAGAGUGCAGGAGAGGAAGGUAGAAUUCCCGGUGUAGCGGUGAAAUGCGUAGAGAUCGGGAGGAACACCAGUGGCGAAGGCGGCCUUCUGGACUGACACUGACGCUGAGGUGCGAAAGCGUGGGUAGCAAACAGGAUUAGAUACCCCUGUAGUC
RNAcentral lists this ribosomal RNA (465 nucleotides) under Vreelandella stevensii. Its description in RNAcentral is "partial 16S ribosomal RNA". It matches the Rfam family "Bacterial small subunit ribosomal RNA", at positions 338 to 795 of the family's 1533-position model. Lineage: Bacteria; Pseudomonadati; Pseudomonadota; Gammaproteobacteria; Oceanospirillales; Halomonadaceae. The record is from RNAcentral.